CGGGGAUAUAUUGGAACGAGGAUUCGUCUGAAGGAAAAUGUAUCUUAGUGGCGGACGGGUGAGUAACGCGUGGGCAACCUACCGUAUACAGGGGGAUAACACUUAGAAAUAGGUGCUAAUACCGCAUAAGCGCACAGCAGUGCAUACUGGAGUGUGAAAAGCCGAGACGGUAUACGAUGGGCCCGCGUCUGAUUAGCCAGUUGGCAGGGUAACGGCCUACCAAAGCGACGAUCAGUAGCCGGCCUGAGAGGGCGGACGGCCACAUUGGGACUGAGACACGGCCCAGACUCCUACGGGAGGCAGCAGUGGGGGAUAUUGCACAAUGGGGGGAACCCUGAUGCAGCGACGCCGCGUGAGUGAAGAAGUAAUUCGUUAUGUAAAGCUCUAUCAGCAGGGAAGAAUAAAUGACGGUACCUGAGUAAGAAGCCCCGGCUAACUACGUGCCAGCAGCCGCGGUAAUACGUAGGGGGCAAGCGUUAUCCGGAUUUACUGGGUGUAAAGGGAGCGUAGACGGCGAUGCAAGCCAGAUGUGAAAGCCCGCGGCUCAACUGCGGUAGUGCAUUUGGAACUGUAUGGCUGGAGUGCAGGAGAGGCAGGCGGAAUUCCUAGUGUAGCGGUGAAAUGCGUAGAUUUUAGGAGGAACACCAGUGGCGAAGGCGGCCUGCUGGACUGUAACUGUCGUUGUGGCUCGAAAGCGUGGG
Molecule: ribosomal RNA, 701 nt
Filed under: uncultured bacterium
Lineage: Bacteria
Description: bacterial SSU rRNA
Rfam family: Bacterial small subunit ribosomal RNA
Source: RNAcentral